CCCAGAUCAUGGGCACCAUGAAUGGCUCAUACUGCUGGACAAAGACAAUAUAUCAUUCGUUGUGGGGUCCCCAAUAACUGGCAGAGUUUUUGAGUGGAAAGGAGGAAAAAUGGAUGGAUGGAUGGACGACACUCACAGACUGUCAGACCGACACCUGAGUUUUGAGGAACAGUGGUUGCUGCAGCGAACCGCCACGAGGGGGCAAUGUGGAGCAGCUUUUCAAGGUCGUCUGAGACUCUUCCACCAGACCAUGGCUGGUGUUUGGAAGAAUGCUAGCAUGGUGAUGAAGCUCCCUCCCUCCCUUCCUGGCCAUCCACACACUGUCGUAGCAGGCUCCUGAGGUCCGAGUUUUAGAUGGCAGAGGGAAAUAUCCAGAGUGCACAUGAAACCUCAAAAUUUCCUUUCCAUUCAU
Molecule: long non-coding RNA, 412 nt
Organism: Lutra lutra (Eurasian river otter)
Lineage: Eukaryota; Metazoa; Chordata; Mammalia; Carnivora; Mustelidae
Exons: 3
Source: RefSeq, a predicted model, not a curated record